This 440-nucleotide ribosomal RNA is filed under the name uncultured bacterium. Its description in RNAcentral is "partial 16S ribosomal RNA". It matches the Rfam family "Bacterial small subunit ribosomal RNA", at positions 338 to 795 of the family's 1533-position model. The record is from RNAcentral.
CCUACGGGAGGCAGCAGUGGGGCAUAUUGGGCAAUGGGCGCAAGCCUGACCCAGCAACGCCGCGAGUGGGAAGACGGUCCUCUGGAUUGUAAACCACUGUCCCCAGGGACGAAGAUGACGGUACCUGGGGAGGAAGCUCCGGCUAACUACGUGCCAGCAGCCGCGGUAAUACGUAGGGAGCGAGCGUUGUCCGUAAUUACUGGGUGUAAAGGGAGCGUAGGCGGGGAUGCAAGUUGGGUGUCAAAACUACCGGCUCAACUGGUAGUCGCACUCAAAACUGCAGCUCUGGAGUGAAGUAGAGGCAGGCGGAAUUCCUAGUGUAGCGGUGAAAUGCGUAGAUAUUAGGAGGAACACCAGUGGCGAAGGCGGCCUGCUGGGCUUUUACUGACGCUGAGGCUCGAAAGUGUGGGGAGCAAACAGGAUUAGAUACCCGUGUAGUC